This 234-nucleotide ribosomal RNA is filed under the name uncultured Candidatus Saccharibacteria bacterium. RNAcentral describes it as "partial 16S ribosomal RNA". It matches the Rfam family "Bacterial small subunit ribosomal RNA", at positions 584 to 818 of the family's 1533-position model. Lineage: Bacteria; Candidatus Saccharimonadota. The record is from RNAcentral.
UAAGCAAGGCGUGAAAGCGUACGGCUCAACCGUAUAGACAUGUUUUGAACUGCUUAGCUAGAGGACGAGAGAGGUAGCUGGAAUUCCCUGUGUAGGAGUGAAAUCCGUAGAUAUAGGGAGGAACACCGAUGGCGUAGGCAGGCUACUGGCUCGUUCCUGACACUCAGGCACGAAAGCGUGGGAGCGACCGGGAUUAGAUACCCCGUUAGUCCACGCCGUAAACGAUGGAUGCUA